Molecule: ribosomal RNA, 899 nt
Filed under: uncultured bacterium
Lineage: Bacteria
Description: bacterial SSU rRNA
Rfam family: Bacterial small subunit ribosomal RNA
Source: RNAcentral
AGAGUUUGAUCCUGGCUCAGAAUCAACGCUGGCGGCGUGCCUCAGACAUGCAAGUCGAACGAUUAAGACUUCCUUCGGGAAGUGUAUAAAGUGGCGCACGGGUGAGUAACACGUAAGUAAUCUACCUUCGAGUGGGGAAUAACCCGGGGAAACCCGAGCUAAUACCGCAUAAUGCAGCGGCAUCGCAAGAUGACAGUUGUUAAAGGAAUUUAUUUCGCUUGAAGAGGAGCUUGCGGCAGAUUAGCUAGUUGGUAAGGUAACGGCUUACCAAGGCUACGAUCUGUAUCCGGUCUAAGAGGACGGUCGGACACACUGACACUGAAUAACGGGUCAGACUCCUACGGGAGGCAGCAGUCGGGAAUUUUGGGCAAUGGGCGAAAGCCUGACCCAGCAACGCCGCGUGAAGGAUGAAGUAUUUCGGUAUGUAAACUUCGAAAGAAUGGGAAGAAUAAAUGACGGUACCAUUUAUAAGCUCCGGCUAACUACGUGCCAGCAGCCGCGGUAAUACGUAGGGAGCAAGCGUUGUUCGGAUUUACUGGGCGUAAAGGGCGCGUAGGCGGCGCGGUAAGUCACUUGUGAAAUCUCUGAGCUUAACUCAGAACGGCCAAGUGAUACUGCAGUGCUAGAGUGCAGAAGGGGCAAUCGGAAUUCUUGGUGUAGCGGUGAAAUGCGUAGAUAUCAAGAGGAACACCUGAGGUGAAGACGGGUUGCUGGGCUGACACUGACGCUGAGGCGCGAAAGCCAGGGGAGCAAACGGGAUUAGAUACCCCGGUAGUCCUGGCCCUAAACGAUGAAUACCUGGUGUCUGGAGUUUCAAGACUUCGGGUGCCGUCGCUAACGUUUUAAGUAUUCCGCCUGGGGAGUACGCUCGCAAGUGUGAAACUUAAAGGAAUUGACGG